UCUUUAUAUAAUAAACUAUAUUACAAGGAUUAGAAAAGCAAUUUAGAAGGACCUUUAUGGAAUAAGUACUUUAUUAGGGACUAAAUUACAAAAGUUCCCUUUUUAAGUAACCGGAUCCAACCGGGUUUCGGAUUUCGGGUUGCAACCCAAAAACCUGAACCCGUUUCCCUUUCUUCUCCCCCUUCUUUCUCUAUUUCCCGAGUACAACCCAAACCUCCAUGGCUGCCGAUCAAUCUCUUCUUCCUAGUCACCGCCGGCAGUCACGGAUGGCCCACAACCACCGGUGGCCUUCUCUUUGGAUUCUCCCCCGACCAUCUAUUGCCGAUGAUUGGUCGGUCUUGACGGAAGAUCGAUGGAGGAGGGGACAAGCCGGUGCGCUUGUCCCCGCCUAAUCUUUGUCGAUGGCCACUGUAAAGUCAAAUUGGUGGCCCGCCGCUCCAUCCCAAAGCCAUCUGCCGAUUUCUCGAUGAGUAUGCUGGCGGUAAAGGCGGUCAAUUUAAGAUCAGCGGAGGGGGUUUGAAAAUACCAUGGCUUCCUCAAAAAUAUACGAUCGGCGAUCGCCGAAAAAAGUCCGGAUCGGCGGACCGCCGCCGUCUCCCCAAGACCGAUCACCCCUUUAUGCUAGUGAUGGAGAGUUUUGAUGGAGAGAAUCAUCGGUGAUCAAGAUUCGGCAUUUCUUCUACCCUUUCCUCUUUUUUUUUAGUUUUUUGUUGGCUGGACAAAGGCGAGUUCUCCGACGUCGCGACUUCAUGGGACUCGCCAUUGGCCUGUCUCUGCAGUAGCCGGAGGUCGACCGUAGUCCGGCCACCGUGAUGGGAUGAGAAGGGCACACGGUUGGCCCUAUUCUUCCCUCUUUAAUACUUAUUUAUUUAUUUCAACAAUAAUUUAAGGCCUAAAAAAAUAAAUAACAGGAUCUUUAAAAUAAAUAAAUAAUUAUAAUUAUUUUACAUAAUUCGGAAUGGAUCGAGUUCACGAUGACUUUAACCACAAACGAUCAAUUAGGAUGGCUAAUCAGAUCUACCACCAUAUAAAUUUUAUAUAGGUACGCAGACUUUAAUCUUUAAG
RNAcentral lists this long non-coding RNA (1065 nucleotides) under Elaeis guineensis (African oil palm). RNAcentral describes it as "long non-coding RNA (EGUI_LNC031484)". Lineage: Eukaryota; Viridiplantae; Streptophyta; Magnoliopsida; Arecales; Arecaceae. The record is from RNAcentral.